ACAAGCAGCGGAGCAUGUGGUUUAAUUCGAUGCAACGCGAAGAACUUACCUGGGCUUGACAUCCCGGGAAUCCCUUGGAAACAGGGAGUGCCCUUCGGGGAACCUGGAGACAGGUGCUGCAUGGCUGUCGUCAGCUCGUGUCGUGAGAUGUAGGGUUAAGUCCCGCAACGAGCGCAACCCCUAUUGUUAGUUGCCAUCAUUCAGUUGGGCACUCUAGCGAGACUGCCGGUAAUAAACCGGAGGAAGUGGGGAUGACGUCAAAUCAUCAUGCCCCUUAUGUCUUGGGCUUCACGCAUGCUACAAUGGCCGGUACAAAGGGCUGCGAUACCGCGAGGUGGAGCGAAUCCCAGAAAGCCGGUCUCAGUUCGGAUUGGGGUCUGCAACUCGACCCCAUGAAGUCGGAGUCGCUAGUAAUCGCAGAUCAGCAACGCUGCGGUGAAUACGUUCCCGGGCCUU
This 456-nucleotide ribosomal RNA is filed under the name uncultured Nakamurella sp. Its description in RNAcentral is "bacterial SSU rRNA". It matches the Rfam family "Bacterial small subunit ribosomal RNA", at positions 925 to 1382 of the family's 1533-position model. Lineage: Bacteria; Bacillati; Actinomycetota; Actinomycetes; Nakamurellales; Nakamurellaceae. The record is from RNAcentral.